RNAcentral lists this long non-coding RNA (1147 nucleotides) under Gallus gallus (chicken). Its description in RNAcentral is "lncRNA (ENSGALG00010017231.1)". The record is from RNAcentral. Lineage: Eukaryota; Metazoa; Chordata; Aves; Galliformes; Phasianidae.
CGCCGCUCGGCGGUGAGGCGGUCGUGCGCUGAGCGUCGUUGCUUUGCCUCUGCAGUAGUUUUCCGUAGGCCCGGCCUGCUCUUCUGUCUGCUACUGUAGCUUUUGGUGCCUCCCAGUCGUUCCUCUGCCUGUAAUUUGUUGCAAGGGGUCACUUAGCAGUUUCAUGAUUGGAGCAGCCUGGAAAUGGAUGAUCACACCUAAAUUGAAAGCAGUUCUCAGGAUUCCUUAGGAAUGAAUAAUACCUUCUAUUAAGAAGAGUCCUCAAGUGUGUUGGUACUCCUUGACCACCUAGAAUAUGCUUUGUGAGAUGGCAAUAAACAAUGUGGAGUCACAAGAGUUCCUUGUGAAUUGAUAAGUCUCCGGGUAUGUAGUAUAAAAAGGCUUAUCAGACCUGAGUGGAUGGGGUUGUGUUGUCUCUAGCUAAGCAGCUUAAAUUAUUGCUUACCUGAAAGUUAAAUAAACAAACAAACAAAAAAUCUCUUGAAACCAGUUUGGACUACUGGAAACCUCUGUGGAAAUCUAGAAUUUUUAAAACUGAUUUUAUGUAGAUCAGCCAAACUAAAUUAAAUAACAUCUGGGAAAGUGGACCUGUUUUUUCUUCCUAGACUUGCCCUGAACUGGAAUGUGUAUAAAUGGUAUGGGCAAGGAAAAUCCUGUCCUGUAGAAAUGUAAUACUUAUUGAGAAAUGCCUUUGAUUUAAGGUUAAUGUCAUGUAGCUUCUUCAUAUAGUUCAAUCUUAGGCCACUUAACUUCAUUCAGGUAUUUGAUGCUGACUGCAAAUUAAAUAAAGCUUUUCUUUUACAGAGAGGAAACCAGCAAGGGAUGUGCAAGGCAUCAGAGCUGAUCUGUUGAGUGGAUGAUUAUUGACUUCACAUAAGAUUACAUAGGACAACUGAGUGAUGUUUUUGGCUUGAAUUGAAACAGUGACUCAGAUGAUUACAUCUUCAAUGAUCACGCUUAAACAAUCUAGCCAUUGGUUCAACAGAAGUUUCUUAAAAGCUGUGGCAAUUUAUUUCUAUGUGGAUUGAUUGAAAUAAAGGUAAUACCAGAAGCUUGUGUUGUGAAGUUCUCUCACUAGGUGCUUCCUAUUUCAAAGGUAUUCAGAAGUUCAGAAUGCUAAAUUCCUUUACUUUGAAAUCACUUUAUU